GCAUAUCAAUAAGCGGAGGAAAAGAAACCAACAGGGAUUGCCCUAGUAACGGCGAGUGAAGCGGCAACAGCUCAAAUUUGAAAUCUGGCGUCUUUGGCGUCCGAGUUGUAAUUUGCAGAGGGCGCUUUGGCAUUGGCAGCGGUCCAAGUUCCUUGGAACAGGACGUCACAGAGGGUGAGAAUCCCGUACGUGGUCGCUAGCCUUUACCGUGUAAAGCCCCUUCGACGAGUCGAGUUGUUUGGGAAUGCAGCUCUAAAUGGGAGGUAAAUUUCUUCUAAAGCUAAAUACUGGCCAGAGACCGAUAGCGCACAAGUAGAGUGAUCGAAAGAUGAAAAGCACUUUGGAAAGAGAGUUAAAAAGCACGUGAAAUUGUUGAAAGGGAAGCGCUUGCAGCCAGACUUGCCUGUAGUUGCUCAUCCGGGUUUUUACCCGGUGCACUCUUCUAUAGGCAGGCCAGCAUCAGUUUGGGCGGUUGGAUAAAGGUCUCUGUCACGUACCUCCUCUCGGGGAGAACUUAUAGGGGAGACGUAAUGCAACCAGCCUGGACUGAGGUCCGCG
This 558-nucleotide ribosomal RNA is filed under the name Boeremia exigua. RNAcentral describes it as "eukaryotic LSU rRNA". It matches the Rfam family "Eukaryotic large subunit ribosomal RNA", at positions 38 to 604 of the family's 3401-position model. The record is from RNAcentral. Lineage: Eukaryota; Fungi; Ascomycota; Dothideomycetes; Pleosporales; Didymellaceae.